UAAUAAGUGUUUUAUGGCACUUUUUUAAAUCCAUAUCCACCUUGUGUGCAAUGUCAGUCGAUCUUCUUCAUGGAGGUCGACCCAAACAUCAACCUUUAUUUUUUAACUCUUUGUCUGAAAAAUAUUAUGAAUAAACAAUUCAAAAUA
RNAcentral lists this unclassified non-coding RNA (147 nucleotides) under soil metagenome. Its description in RNAcentral is "partial internal transcribed spacer 1". The record is from RNAcentral.